Molecule: ribosomal RNA, 684 nt
Filed under: Triticum aestivum (bread wheat)
Lineage: Eukaryota; Viridiplantae; Streptophyta; Magnoliopsida; Poales; Poaceae
Description: partial small subunit ribosomal RNA
Source: RNAcentral
AUGAAGCUCGCGGCGUGGAAUUGUCGGGGGUUGGGGAAUGGCCCGGCAAUUCGAGGGCUCCUGGAUAUCCGGGAGAAGGAGGACCCUGAUGUGAUGUUUCUUUGCGAGACGAGGACCGAUGAGAAGGGAUUGGAAUGGCUUAGGUGGAAGUUAGGGCUCCCUAUCUGGGUGGUACAGAAAAGUGCGGGACAAAGUGGCGGAUUGGCAGUGUUAUGGAGGAAUGGUUUGACAGUGAAAGGUGGAUGGUGUUCUCGGUAUCACAUUGACACUGAGAUUACCGAGGAGGAUGGUUUUGCCUGGAGAUUUACUGGUAUCUAUGGGGAGUCAAAGAUGGAUGAAAAACACAAGACUUGGAAACUGCUGCGUACUCUAAAAAACCACAACAAUAAACCUUGGCUGAUGGCGGGGGAUUUCAAUGAGAUCCUACUCCAGUGCGAGAAGGAAGGGGGGUGGCUCGGCCCCAACAAGCUAUGGACAGCUUUCGAAGUGCUCUGGAGGAGUGUGACCUGCAUGAUCUCGGCUUCGAUGGUGAUCCAUACACCUGGCGAAAUAACAACCAUGAUUCGAAUAAAUAUAUCCGAGAGAGACUUGACAGAGCGGUGGCUUCACCAAGCUGGUGCCAACGUUUCCCCUUUUACAAAGUGGUGCAUGGUGACCCUCGGCACUCUGAUCAUAGACCACUAA